AGCAGUCGCCGCGGGAAUACGUAGGGUGCGAGCGUUAAUCGGAAUUACUGGGCGUAAAGCGCACGCAGGCGGUCUGACAAGUCAGAUGUGAAAUCCCCGGGCUUAACCUGGGAACUGCAUUUGAAACUGUCAGGCUGGAGUCUUGUAGAGGGGGGUAGAAUUCCAGGUGUAGCGGUGAAAUGCGUAGAGAUCUGGAGGAAUACCGGUGGCGAAGGCGGCCCCCUGGACAAAGACUGACGCUCAGGUGCGAAAGCGUGGGGAGCAAACAGGAUUAGAUACCCCUGUAGUCCCUGUCUCUUAUAC
RNAcentral lists this ribosomal RNA (303 nucleotides) under uncultured bacterium. RNAcentral's name for it is "partial 16S ribosomal RNA". It matches the Rfam family "Bacterial small subunit ribosomal RNA", at positions 507 to 807 of the family's 1533-position model. The record is from RNAcentral.